UACGAAGGGAGCUAGCGUUGUUCGGAAUCACUGGGCGUAAAGCGCACGUAGGCGGAUUGCUAAGUCAGGGGUGAAAUCCUGGAGCUCAACUCCAGAACUGCCUUUGAUACUGGCGACCUUGAGUCCGGGAGAGGUGAGUGGAACUGCGAGUGUAGAGGUGAAAUUCGUAGAUAUUCGCAAGAACACCGGUGGCGAAGGCGGGUCUCUGGGCCGAAAUUGACGCUGAGGAGCGAAAGCGUGGGGAGCAAACAGG
Molecule: ribosomal RNA, 253 nt
Filed under: uncultured bacterium
Lineage: Bacteria
Description: partial 16S ribosomal RNA
Rfam family: Bacterial small subunit ribosomal RNA
Source: RNAcentral